AACCAAUUUCAUUGUUGCCAUUAAAAGCACGAGCUACUUGAACAGGAGCUUCAGACCUAAGCUUGUUGUUAGUUGCCUGAUCGAAUUGAACAAUGUUGUUCAUCUUCUUCUACUUUAGCUUUCCUUUGCUCCACUUAUGUCGAAGAAAUGAAAAGAGCAAAGUAAGCAAAAGGAAAUAUGAUUCAAGAGAAUAUGAGAUUUGAUAGGAGAUUACUUUCUUCUGCGUUCCACCUCCGGAUCUGGCGGGGUUUAGAGAUUGGUAGUGGACCAUUUUUCUUUUUUUGGUGCCU
This 290-nucleotide long non-coding RNA is filed under the name Brassica rapa (field mustard). Its description in RNAcentral is "long non-coding RNA (BRAP_LNC000854)". Lineage: Eukaryota; Viridiplantae; Streptophyta; Magnoliopsida; Brassicales; Brassicaceae. The record is from RNAcentral.